CGGAGUGUAGCGCAGCCUGGUAGCGCACCUGAAUGGGGUUCAGGGGGUCGAAGGUUCAAAUCCUUUCACUCCGACCA
Molecule: transfer RNA, 77 nt
Filed under: Antarcticirhabdus aurantiaca
Lineage: Bacteria; Pseudomonadati; Pseudomonadota; Alphaproteobacteria; Hyphomicrobiales; Aurantimonadaceae
Description: tRNA-Pro
Rfam family: tRNA
About the family: Transfer RNA (tRNA) molecules are approximately 80 nucleotides in length. Their secondary structure includes four short double-helical elements and three loops (D, anti-codon, and T loops). Further hydrogen bonds mediate the characteristic L-shaped molecular structure. tRNAs have two regions of fundamental functional importance: the anti-codon, which is responsible for specific mRNA codon recognition, and the 3' end, to which the tRNAs corresponding amino acid is attached (by aminoacyl-tRNA synthetases). tRNAs cope with the degeneracy of the genetic code in two manners: having more than one tRNA (with a specific anti-codon) for a particular amino acid; and 'wobble' base-pairing, i.e. permitting non-standard base-pairing at the 3rd anti-codon position.
Source: RNAcentral